Molecule: ribosomal RNA, 277 nt
Filed under: uncultured bacterium
Lineage: Bacteria
Description: partial 16S ribosomal RNA
Rfam family: Bacterial small subunit ribosomal RNA
Source: RNAcentral
AGCGAACGCUGGCGGCAUGCUUAACACAUGCAAGUCGCACGGGCACUUUCGGGUGCGAGUGGCGGACGGGUGAGUAUCGCGUAGGGAUUUGUCGUUGGGUGGGGGAUAACCUUGGGAAACUGGGGCUAAUACCGCAUGACGCCUGAGGGCCAAAGCUUUGGCGCCUGACGAGGAGCCUGCGUCCGAUUAGGUAGUUGGUUGGGUAAUGGCUGACCAAGCCAUCGAUCGGUAGCUGGUCUGAGAGGAUGAUCAGCCACACUGGGACUGAGACACGGCC